Non-coding RNA from Cavia porcellus (domestic guinea pig), 350 nucleotides. It matches the Rfam family "7SK RNA". From Rfam's summary of the family: 7SK was discovered as an abundant small nuclear RNA in the mid-70s but a possible function has only recently been suggested. Two independent studies have found that 7SK RNA binds the CDK9/cyclin T complex (known as elongation factor P-TEFb). The record is from Rfam. NCBI's taxonomy places the organism in Eukaryota, Metazoa, Chordata, Mammalia, Rodentia, Caviidae.
GGAUGUGAGGAUAAUCUGGCUGCAACAUCUGUCACCCCACUGAUGGCCUGGGUUGAUUCAGCUGAGCUGGCUGUCUAGGCACCUGUCCCCUUACUCCCUCACCUCUCCAUGUACAUCUCUAUUGAAGCUGCAUGCUUGGUUGAAGAGGACAACCACCCAAUAGAGGAGAACCAUUUCCUUGACCAAAGGUACACAAGUAGCUGCACUCCCCAGCGAGAACCUCCAAACAAGCUCUGAAGAUAAAUAUAGAUUUAUGAACCUUGGCUUAGUUAUGUGGGUUUGUUGAGUUAAAAAAGUAAAAUAUAUAUAUUUUUAGCAAGGGACAUGAACAAAUACAUUUGAUAGUCACU